CAGCAGAACCGUGUGGUCGAUGCGGUGGUACCAGUCGCGGUGCGCCGGGCCGCGCACCCUCCCCCGGACACUGUGUAGAGCAGCGUCGGGUAGAAGAGCACCCGGGCCAGGCCGGCCUCCAGCCACGCGGAGGCCGCCAUCCCGCCCCACCCCGCCAGGCGCAGUGGCGAGGCGCCCCACCCCGCCAGGCGCAGCGGCCAGCCACCGGCCCCGGGGCUCGCGACCAGCCACCGCGAGAAGGACGCGGAGGACGAGAGCUGAGGGCCACCUGA
RNAcentral lists this long non-coding RNA (272 nucleotides) under Mus musculus (house mouse). RNAcentral's name for it is "long non-coding RNA chr2:90917642-90917914". Lineage: Eukaryota; Metazoa; Chordata; Mammalia; Rodentia; Muridae. The record is from RNAcentral.